This 297-nucleotide long non-coding RNA is filed under the name Citrus sinensis (sweet orange). RNAcentral describes it as "long non-coding RNA (CSIN_LNC000956)". Lineage: Eukaryota; Viridiplantae; Streptophyta; Magnoliopsida; Sapindales; Rutaceae. The record is from RNAcentral.
UGGGUAGUUGAGAUUGAAGUGCAAACAGAAGAAAACAAAACUAUGAUUACGAUGAUGAAGAAGAAGAUAAUGAAGAUGAAGCGUGGGGUUCGUAUCUUCUUCACCUCAGUUCAUCAACUUCUUCUUCAUCAAAUAUAAAAAAUAACAGAAAGCGCUCACCUCACCCUCUUUUUUAUUUCUCUCAGGCAAAUUAACAAACAGGUAAUGGACAAUGCGCCAGAUAGAAAUAGAAUUACAGCCAGAUGAGGGCGAAGAGACUAAAGAAUAAUAGCCUAAUUAUGUGACUCGACAAAAAGG